Molecule: long non-coding RNA, 1048 nt
Organism: Salarias fasciatus (jewelled blenny)
Lineage: Eukaryota; Metazoa; Chordata; Actinopteri; Blenniiformes; Blenniidae
Exons: 3
Source: RefSeq, a predicted model, not a curated record
GUAAAAUGGUUUCUAAACUUCCAAAGAAAAAAAUUAACUGAAUAUUUUCUCUUACCAGAUCGCAAAAUGAGAACUCUGACGAACACAGAACUAGCUCUUUGUAUUGUCUGUGUUGCUUUGGCUGGAAGUGUGGCUGGUUCAGUCUAUCUCAUUUGGACCAACAAGAAGAAGAAUUGCAAAAAUGACGGUGAACCAGACAGCAGUAAUCAGCAGAGGGAUGAAGCUUCUUUGGCCCAUUCUGCACCAACCUUCAGCAGGAGAAAAGUUACCAACUCAGGGAUUUAUUCUGUUGCUGUUUUUACGAUGAUGAAGACCAGCAGUGGUGGAAGAGGAGAUGUAAGCAUGUCUGAGAGAGAGAGGAUCUAUGCUGCUGUCCAGGCUCUUGGUUUGGAUUAGAAAGCAAACAUGUGGCAUUGCUUGCUUGUUGGAAGUUGUUUUCUCAAUUUUCCAUCCUGUUCCGUCGUUUAAAACCAGAUACAUGAUAAUUCAUCAUUUUGCCAUUUAUAUCUGCUGAAACUUUUUCAAGACAGCUUUUAAUAAAGUGUUUGUGUAUUUAUGUGUUCUGCUAUAACCUUUAGUCACAGUUGCCUUUGACGUGAGGCUUAUUAAUUUAAUCAGUUAUAUCAAUCAGUUACAUUUUCAGAUAAAGGAGGGUAAAUUUAACAGCAAGAGAGAUUUUUUUUCUUCCAAAUGCUUCCAGUGUCUUGAGAAAAAUUGGGAUUGCAAUGAAAAUAACACAGAGAGCCAAGAUGGUUUGCAUAAUGACAACAGGAUUCAGGUGUGGUCCUGAAUCAGAAAAGCAAAAGUCAAAAUUUAAUUUAUUUCUUUAAAAUUAUGCAAAAUAUAUCCAUCCAUGUUCUGCAAUUCUUUAUCCAUUUUUUGUUGAGGUUGUUUAUGGGGACAAGGGCUGUCUAAGCUGAGCAAUAAAUUGGUAAAUCAAUUGAUCAAUCAACCUUUAAUGACAGAGCAUUGGUGAAUGCAGGUCACAACCAACUGCCAACCUCUGCUGCAAUUUUCAUGUCUCCCUUUCAUUUUUUUUUGUUCUCUU